RNAcentral lists this ribosomal RNA (130 nucleotides) under Shewanella putrefaciens. RNAcentral describes it as "partial 23S ribosomal RNA". It matches the Rfam family "Bacterial large subunit ribosomal RNA", at positions 1 to 129 of the family's 2925-position model. Lineage: Bacteria; Pseudomonadati; Pseudomonadota; Gammaproteobacteria; Alteromonadales; Shewanellaceae. The record is from RNAcentral.
GGUUAAGCGACUAAGCGUAUACGGUGGAUGCCUUGGCAGUCAGAGGCGAUGAAGGACGUAGUAACUUGCGAAAAGCGUUGGCGAGCUAGUAACAAGCAUUUGAGCUAACGAUUUCCGAACGGGGAAACCC